RNAcentral lists this ribosomal RNA (501 nucleotides) under Triticum aestivum (bread wheat). RNAcentral describes it as "partial small subunit ribosomal RNA". Lineage: Eukaryota; Viridiplantae; Streptophyta; Magnoliopsida; Poales; Poaceae. The record is from RNAcentral.
AUGAGUCUCUUAUGCUGGAACUGCCGUGGGAUUGGCAACGCCCCGACAGUUCAAGAGCUACGGGAGAUCGCGGCAAAGUUUGCUCCUAAAGUGCUUUGUUUGGUAGAGACCCAAAUAAGUAGAGCUCGUGUUGAGAAUCUAGCAAACACUUUAGGUUUCGAUAAUGCUUAUGGAGUGGACCCCACUGGUAGAAGUGGUGGACUUGUAAUGCUUUGGCAGAAUGAAAUAAAAUUAGAGUUCUUGGGUUACUCAAAGUACCAUAUAGAUAUGAAAGUUUCAGAUUCGGGAGAGACCCCAUGGAGAUUGUUUUGUUUUUAUGGUGAAGCUCAAACUCACCUUCGUUAUCAAACUUGGGACACCAUGAAGAAUAUGAUAAACAUAAGCCCUCUUCCGUGGCUGUGUUUGGGUGACUUCAACGAGGUCCUGCAUGUGGAAGAGCAUAAUGGGAUUGGACAGCGAAACCAGGCUCAGAUUCAGGGUUUUAGGGACGCAGGGUUUUAG